This 598-nucleotide long non-coding RNA is filed under the name Capra hircus (goat). RNAcentral describes it as "lncRNA (ENSCHIG00000000758.1)". The record is from RNAcentral. Lineage: Eukaryota; Metazoa; Chordata; Mammalia; Artiodactyla; Bovidae.
CUUACUUCUUACAUAAAUAUCCUCAUAUUUCUGCUGAAUAUACUGUAAGUCCACAUACCAGUCGUUGUAUUCAUAUACUAAUACUCCUGAAAUACUCUUUUAAGAACCUGAACCUGAAAAGAAGGUUAUUGAGAAACCAAAACUCAAACCAAGGCCCCCAGCUCCUCCUCCUGCUCCACCUAAAGAAGAUGUCAAGGAGAAAAUAUUCCAGCUUAAAGCUGUUUCGAAGAAGAAAGUUCCUGAGAAACCUGUGGUUCCAGAAAAAGUGGAGCUUACACCUCUGAAAGUGCCAGAACCACCUCCAAAAGCUGUGGAAGAGGUUGAAGCUCCUCCAGCUGUUACCAAAAAGGAAAGGAAAAUUCCAGAACCAGUAAAAGGUACAAACUUCCAGUUGUCUCUAAAAAUACAAAUAUGCAUCAAUUAAAAUAUCAUUACACUGGCAUUAAGAUUUGAACACCUGACCUCUACUCAUCUCAUCCAGCUUAAUUUUCUUUACAAUUCACUCUCACGUGCAGUUGCCUCAUGCCCACCCAUUUGUUAAAUACAUUACUAAGUUUUAAAAACUAACAAAAUUGUAUUACGGGCAGUGAGAUGAAUA